Molecule: ribosomal RNA, 473 nt
Filed under: uncultured organism
Description: partial 16S ribosomal RNA
Rfam family: Bacterial small subunit ribosomal RNA
Source: RNAcentral
ACACUCCUGCGGGAGGCAGCAGUGGGGAAUAUUGCACAAUGGGCGCAAGCCUGAUGCAGCCAUGCCGCGUGUAUGAAGAAGGCCUUCGGGUUGUAAAGUACUUUCAGCGGGGAGGAAGGCAAUACGGUUAAUAACCGUGUUGAUUGACGUUACCCGCAGAAGAAGCACCGGCUAACUCCGUGCCAGCAGCCGCGGUAAUACGGAGGGUGCAAGCGUUAAUCGGAAUUACUGGGCGUAAAGCGCACGCAGGCGGUCUGUCAAGUCGGAUGUGAAAUCCCCGGGCUCAACCUGGGAACUGCAUUCGAAACUGGCAGGCUUGAGUCUUGUAGAGGGGGGUAGAAUUCCAGGUGUAGCGGUGAAAUGCGUAGAGAUCUGGAGGAAUACCGGUGGCGAAGGCGGCCCCCUGGACAAAGACUGACGCUCAGGUGCGAAAGCGUGGGGAGCAAACAGGAUUAGAUACCCCGGUAGUCCCA